AUGCCAUCUUCAAGGAUAUGAACUGUAGUACCUUUAUGGAUUUAAUUCAUUUUCCUGAAGUGGUUUCCCUGUUCCGGAAUGGAUGUUGAAGAAGGGAACAUGAACCAGCAAGGUGGUAUAACUGAUGACGGUGAUGAUGAACCCAGUGAGAGUGGAGAAGCAAAUGUAAAUGGAAGAUCAAAUGCACCUGAUGGAGAUAACAUUGUUGAGCCGCAAAUGGGUAUGGUAUUUCUUUCUGCAGAUCAAGCAAAGAAUUUCUAUGAUGAGUAUGCUAGGCGUGUGGGUUUUAACACCCGUGUCUUUCAGUUUAAUCGACUGAAGACUGAUUUCUUAUGUGACAAGGU
Molecule: unclassified non-coding RNA, 344 nt
Filed under: Hevea brasiliensis (rubber tree)
Lineage: Eukaryota; Viridiplantae; Streptophyta; Magnoliopsida; Malpighiales; Euphorbiaceae
Source: RNAcentral